CCCGGUGCACAGCUGCCAGACGCUGGCCAGCCAGAUUGGAUUGUCCGGGUGGACUGCGACUCCCCCUCCACGAGGCUGAUGAAGCUGAUGAAAUCGUCAAAGCGCCGCUGUGCGUGGUUCUGGCUUCCGAGUGACUCUGCUCGGGAUGUCGCAUCUGCUAAGUCGACGCCGAUAACCUCUGGACGCCGCCUAGGACCAACACUUCAAGAUGUACUUGGUUGUUGACUCUGUCCUCCUUAAAGGAAAAUGGGUGAGCUUCCGACCGCACUCAAUAGAUUAUGGUCCAAAAAUAGGUCUACUGAUGUCAAAGAGAAAAACAACAUUUAACCCCUAUUCUGGUAAACAAAUCGCUAAUGAACAGGAAAUAAGACAUAAGAUAUAUCAAAU
Drosophila melanogaster (fruit fly) is the source of this 387-nucleotide non-coding RNA. NCBI's taxonomy places the organism in Eukaryota, Metazoa, Arthropoda, Insecta, Diptera, Drosophilidae. The record is from Ensembl.